GGAAGGGUAGCUCAAUUGGUAGAGUAUCCAAAUACAAAGUCGGAGAUGCGGGUUCGAAUCCUGUCCCUUCCA
This 72-nucleotide transfer RNA is filed under the name Caudoviricetes sp. RNAcentral describes it as "tRNA-Cys". It matches the Rfam family "tRNA". From Rfam's summary of the family: Transfer RNA (tRNA) molecules are approximately 80 nucleotides in length. Their secondary structure includes four short double-helical elements and three loops (D, anti-codon, and T loops). Lineage: Duplodnaviria; Heunggongvirae; Uroviricota; Caudoviricetes. The record is from RNAcentral.